This 253-nucleotide ribosomal RNA is filed under the name uncultured bacterium. RNAcentral's name for it is "partial 16S ribosomal RNA". It matches the Rfam family "Bacterial small subunit ribosomal RNA", at positions 524 to 776 of the family's 1533-position model. The record is from RNAcentral.
UACGUAGGAUCCGAGCAUUGUCCGGAUUUACUGGGUGUAAAGGGUGCGCAGGCGGACUGGUAAGUCAGAGGUGAAAUCUCGUCGCUUAACGACGAAACUGCCUUUGAUACUAUCAGUCUUGAGUCCGGUAGAGAUCUGUGGAAUUCCGAGUGUAGCAGUGAAAUGUGUAGAUAUUCGGAAGAACACCAGUGGCGAAGGCAGCAGAUUGGGCCGGUACUGACGCUCAGGCACGAAAGCAUGGGGAUCAAACAGG